RNAcentral lists this non-coding RNA (45 nucleotides) under Trichobilharzia regenti. Lineage: Eukaryota; Metazoa; Platyhelminthes; Trematoda; Strigeidida; Schistosomatidae. The record is from RNAcentral.
AUCCAGACGACGAGUCUCAAAUAGGACGAAAUACGCAUCCUCGAU